UACAGAGGGUGCGAGCGUUAAUCGGAUUUACUGGGCGUAAAGCGUGCGUAGGCGGCUUCGUAAGUUGGAUGUGAAAUCCCCGAGCUUAACUUGGGAAUUGCAUUCAAAACUGCGAGGCUAGAGUAUGGGAGAGGAUGGUAGAAUUCCAGGUGUAGCGGUGAAAUGCGUAGAGAUCUGGAGGAAUACCGAUGGCGAAGGCAGCCAUCUGGCCUAAUACUGACGCUGAGGUACGAAAGCAUGGGGAGCAAACAGG
Molecule: ribosomal RNA, 253 nt
Filed under: uncultured bacterium
Lineage: Bacteria
Also listed under: 1 other name
Description: partial 16S ribosomal RNA
Rfam family: Bacterial small subunit ribosomal RNA
Source: RNAcentral